CUGACACCCAAUGGGUUAAUCAUAGUUUACCUCCGGCGCAUUCUUAAACCCCUACCUAAGCUGCAUAGCUAGGGUUUCCACGCAUGGCGACCACGACGCCGCCUACGGCGAUCCUAGGCACCCUCGUCGACUUCACAUCGCGGGAGAACUGGGACAAGUUCUUCGCGCUCCGCGGCACGGGGGACAGUUUCGAGUGGUAUGCGGAGUGGCCUAACCUCCGGGCCCCGCUCCUCGACCUCCUCGGGGACCGCGGCGCCGCAGCGGGGGCGGCCCAGGAGAUCCUGGUGCCAGCGUGCGGGAGUUCGGUGCUGUCGGAGAAGCUCUACGACGCGGGGUUCUGCCGCGUCACCAAUGUUGAUUUCUCCCGCGUCGUCGUCGCCGACAUGCUCCGCCGUCACGCACGCGCGAGGCCAGAGAUGCGCUGGCGUGUCAUGGACAUGACCGACAUGCAGUUUGCAGAUGGGUCAUUUGAUGUCAUUCUUGAUAAAGGAGGACUGGAUGCUCUUAUGGAGCCGGAGGCUGGGACAAAACUGGGGAUAAAAUAUCUGAAUGAGGUCAAGAGAGUUAUGAAAUCAGGAGGGAAGUUUGUGUGCCUUACCCUUGCAGAAUCCCAUGUUUUAGCGCUUCUUUUGUCUGAGUUCAGAUUUGGAUGGGAUAUGAGUAUUCAAGCUAUAGCUAGUGAAUCCUCUGAAAAAUCUGCGUUCCAAACAUUCAUGGUGGUCAUGGUAAAAGGGAAGAUGGGUGUAGCUCAAACAAUAAAAUCAUCAUUGGAUCAAUCUGCUGAAUACUGUAACAUGAGACAGGCAAAUGCUGUGAUUCGUGCUCUUGGGAACGAGAACAUCAUCCGGGAGUCAUACUCGUCUAGUGUUGAUGUACUGCUCUCAUUGCGAGAUCUUCAGCUAGGAGCUAUAGGAGAUCUGAAAGUGAUUGUCCCAGGACGAAGGAGGCAAUUCAUUCUUGGUGAACAGGAAACUUCGCUAUAUUGCUACAAGGCUAUUUUAUUGGAUGCCAAGAAGCAAACAGAAACCUUUGUAUAUCACUGUGGAGUUUUUAUUGUCCCUAAGGCUCGAGCUCUGGAAUGGCUAUUUUGUUCCUCAGAAGGACAGUGGCAUGUUGUUGAAAGUGCAAGGGCUGCCCGUCUAAUUAUGGUUUUCUUGGAUAGCAGACAUGCAAAUAUCGACAUGGAUAUUAUUAAGAAGGAUUUAUCUCCCCUUGUUAAGGAUUUAGAACCUGGAAAUCCUGAAGAGGAGGCUCCUAUACCGUUCAUGAUGGCAGGUGAUGGUGUUAAACAAAGACAUACUCUGCAAGAGGUAACUUCAGAAAUAACUGGUCCAAUGGUUGUGGAAGAUGUUGUCUAUGAAAAUGCUGAUGGAGAUCAAGGUUCCAUGUCUGAGAAAAUGUUCCGUCGUCUUAUUUUUGGAAGAAGUUCUGGUUUAGUGCAAUCUGAAGCGUUGUUAAUCAGAGAUCCUCCCAGUGAUGAGGUAGACAAAAAGAACAAAAGUGCAGCUGCAACAUCUAAAAAAAGAAGGAACCAUAAAAGGGGAUCCAAGAACAGUCUGAGAAUUGACCAUAAAUUUCUUGGUAGCUCAUAUCACAGCAGUAUCAUAUCUGGGCUUUCUUUAGUUGCAUCUUCUCUGAGUGCUGCUGCUUCAUCUGGAGAAAAAGUCAGCAUCACCGUUGUAGGCCUUGGUGCUGGUUGUUUCCCAAUGUUUCUCCGUGGAUGUCUGCCUUUCGUAGAUAUUGAGGUCGUUGAGUUGGACCCCUUGGUGGCUGAGCUAGCAAAGAAAUAUUUUGGCUUUUCAAUGGAUGAGCAAUUGAAGGCCAAACAUCGCAUUUCCGUAUAUGCUGAUGAUGUUGUGUUGUUCCUCCGGCCCCUUAGAUCAGACCUCUUUGGUCUCACAUGUCUCCUUGAUAUCUUCGGGCAAUCUACUGGUCUCAGGACAAACAUCGCUAAGAGUUGAGUCACUCCGAUUCAGUGUGGGGAGGAAGAAUUGGCUACUAUCCUGGAGCUCCUGCCUAGUGAAUUAAAGGAAUUCGCGUGCAAUUAUUUGGGGCUGCCCCUGACAAUCAGAAAACCAUCAAAAGCCGAGUUGCAGCCCCUCAUUGACAAGGUAUCAAACAAGUUACCAGGUUGGAAAGCCUCUCUCAUGAGUCGAGCAGGCCGGCUUGUGAUGGUCAAGGUGGUCUUAUCAUCAAUCCCCAUCUACUCCAUGCUCGCUUUGGACCUCCCUAAAUUGGUGUUCAAAGCUAUUGAUAAACGACGAAGGGAUUUCUUAUGGAAAGGACAAGAGAAAGCCAACGGAGGUAACUGUGUUCUCAUGGGAAUGCACCCAGCGACCCCUGCAGUUUGGUGGCCUAGGAAUUCUUAAUCUGGAACGGUUUGGGUGGGCCCUGCGUAGUCGCUGGUUGUGGCUGUAAAAUACUGAUGCUUCCCGUCCUUGGGCUGGUCUCCCCAUCCGCGUUCCCCCUAACGCGCUAGCGCUGUGCAAGGUUGCUGUUGUUACUACAGUUGGGAACGGGGAAUCAACCAAAUUCUGGACAGACCGUUGGCUACAAGGUAAAACGGUUGCUGAAUGCACUCCUAACUUAUUCCUUUUGAUCCCCAAAAGGGUUAGAAGACAAAGGACAGUGGCCCAAGGUUUGCAAAAUCCUAGAUGGGUCUCCGACAUCAGGGGAGCAUUGACUGUUCAAGUAAUUGUAGAAUACCUGCAGCUCUGGAACCUUGUUGACAACUUAGUGCUCCACCAAGACACCCCAGAUCAGCAUACCUGGCGCCUCUCCAAGCACGGGGUUUACUCUAGUAAAUCAGCAUAUGAUGCCUUCUUCAUUGGGACAGUUAAAUUUGCCCCCUGGAAACACAUCUGGAAGACCUGGGCGCCAUUAAAAUGCAAAUUCUUCAUUUGGUUGGCUGUCAAGAAUCGAUGUUGGACAGCGGACAAGCUCGCUAAACGUGGGCUGGCUCACCCUGCUGCUUGUCCUUUGUGUGAUCAGCUGAGGAGACUAUCCAACACUGUUUAGUCUCCUGUGUCUUUUCUAGAGAAGUGUGGUUUCUGUUAUUUGCCAAAUUGAGGUUGUCUACUCUGUCGCCUCAGGCCAUGUUUGGUUUCUUUAGUCCAGGGACUAAAGUUUAGUUAGGGGACUAAAGUUUAGUCCCUAACAUGUUUGGUUUUAGGGGCUAAAAAUAGUAAGAAUAUACUAAAUGACUCAUAAGAAGACUAAAAUGGCAUUCUGCUAUUAGUACAAUGAACUAAAUGAGGGGUAAAUGUGAAAUUAAUAUGGUUUAGUCCAUUUUAGCACAUAUGUGAAGGACUAAAGACUAAAUUAUUUUAGUCCAUAUUUUAGUCCUAGUGUUUGGCAAAAAAAGGACUAAAUGGGACUAAAAACUAGAGACUAAUCUUUAGUCCCUCUAACCAAACACUCCCUCAGUCUAGUGACAAGUUCCUAAACUGGUGGAGUAGAGCUGUUAAAACAGUUCCAAAGAAGUUGAGAAAAGGCCUUAACACACUCAUCAUGUUGGCUGCCUUGGAAAUCUGGAAGCAUCGGAAUGAUUGUGUAUUCGAAGGGCAAUGGCCUUGUGUUCAUACUGUUUUGCAGGUUGUGGCCAAUGAAUGUACCCUUUGGUGUGCUGCGGGUGCCUCUGCUCUUCAGGAGCUCCUCACUCGCCAACCCACUCUUAGGGUUUAAUUUGAGUCGCUCGUAGCUGUGUGGCCUGUGUAGGUGUGUGUUUCUGUAAAGUGGCUGUUUGGGUGGCUGAUGAUGGGCCUGCGCAUUUCUUGCCUUCUUUGUACCUGGUGCUGACUCUUCGGUCGCUCCGUUUCUGUUUUGUCUCAUUUCUUAAUGAAUUGACUCACAGAUCUUCUGCGAUGUUCUAAAAAAAGUUUCAUUGCAUCUUACCAUUUCUCCCAUGUUAGGUCCAUUUGGGAGAUGGCAUCAAGUUCAUUGAAGACAGUGUUGCUGCAAAUCAGUCAGUAAAUGGCAGUACCAGAAAUGCAUUCAAAAUACUUAUCCUCGAUGUUGAUUCAUCUGAUCUAAGCUCUGGGCUGUCUUGCCCACCAGAAAACUUUGUCGAAGAUCCUUUCCUUCUAAUAGCAAAGGAGUUCCUUUUGGAGGGCGGCCUUUUUGUCAUCAAUUUAGUCUCGCGGUCAACCUCAGUGAGGGAAACGGUUGUUUCAAGACUGAAAGCGGUCUUCGAACACCUGUACUCACUGCAACUUGAAGAAGACAUAAAUGAGGUUCUGUUUGCAUCACCGAGCGGAAGAUACCUAGAAAUCAAUGACAUUAGUGCAGGAGCCUCCAAACUGCAGGACUUGCUCAAAAUUCCGGUGGAUGUAGAAUCAGAUAUACAGAAGUUGCAGAAACUCCAGUAACAAUCUCACCUGACGCGGAGCACCAUCCAUUUGCAUCCACUUGAUUUAGGUGCUGUUCAGUUCUCACCCCAGCAGGGCACACCAAAAUGUCCUUUGUUUUGCUCGUGGAAGCCAAAUUAGGACCAGCUGUUUUGUACACCAGAAUUUUGUCUAACUGCGCUAUAGAAAAAUUUUGGCCUGCCAGAAUGUCUUUUACAACCAAAGAGGUGAAAAAUCUGGCUUGACCUGAUUGGGCCUAGAACAGGCUAGAGCGCAUUUCAAACUUUUAAACGUCCACAAAUUGGCCGUGUUUUCCCAUAUGUUUGCCUCGCCAACUCUGCAUGGGUAAAACAGUGCAGCUGUACAGAUUUAGAGGAUGUGUGGAGGAAACAGAAUGUGCAUCAUGCUUGGUCUCUGAUGGUUUACAAAUUUCAGCGAAUAUAUUGAUCAGAAUUCAGGCUGUGUUA
Molecule: RNA transcript, 4813 nt
Organism: Zea mays
Lineage: Eukaryota; Viridiplantae; Streptophyta; Magnoliopsida; Poales; Poaceae
Exons: 16
Source: RefSeq, a predicted model, not a curated record